UAAUACAGAGGGUGCGAGCGUUAAUCGGAAUUACUGGGCGUAAAGCGCGCGUAGGCGGCUUUGCAAGUCGGAUGUGAAAUCCCCGGGCUUAACCUGGGAACUGCAUUCGAGACUGCAUUGCUAGAGUAUGGGAGAGGGAAGUGGAAUUUCCGGUGUAGCGGUGAAAUGCGUAGAUAUCGGAAGGAACAUCAGUGGCGAAAGCGACUUCCUGGACCAAUACUGACGCUCAUGUGCGAAAGCGUGGGGAGCAAACAGGAUUAGAUACCCUGGUAGUCCACGCCAUAAACGAUGAGAACUGGAUGUCGGGAGGGUUAGCCUCUCGGUGUCGUAGCUAACGCGUUAAGUUCUCCGCCUGGGGAGUACGGCCGCAAGGUU
This 375-nucleotide ribosomal RNA is filed under the name uncultured bacterium. RNAcentral's name for it is "bacterial SSU rRNA". It matches the Rfam family "Bacterial small subunit ribosomal RNA", at positions 521 to 895 of the family's 1533-position model. The record is from RNAcentral.